RNAcentral lists this ribosomal RNA (253 nucleotides) under uncultured bacterium. RNAcentral describes it as "partial 16S ribosomal RNA". It matches the Rfam family "Bacterial small subunit ribosomal RNA", at positions 524 to 776 of the family's 1533-position model. The record is from RNAcentral.
UACGGAGGAGGCAAGCGUUAUCCGGAAUUAUUGGGCGUAAAGCGUCCGCAGGUGGCUCCUCAAGUCUGCUGUCAAAGACCGGGGCUUAACCCCAGAAAGGCAGUGGAAACUGAAGCGCUAGAGUGCAGUAGGGGUAGAGGGAAUUCCCGGUGUAGCGGUGAAAUGCGUAGAGAUCGGGAAGAACAUCGGUGGCGAAAGCGCUCUGCUGGACUGCAACUGACACUCAGGGACGAAAGCUAGGGGAGCGAAUGGG